This 498-nucleotide ribosomal RNA is filed under the name uncultured bacterium. RNAcentral describes it as "partial 16S ribosomal RNA". It matches the Rfam family "Bacterial small subunit ribosomal RNA", at positions 27 to 507 of the family's 1533-position model. The record is from RNAcentral.
GGAUGAACGCUGGCGGCGUGCCUAAUACAUGCAAGUCGAGCGAACGGACGAGAAGCUUGCUUCUCUGAUGUUAGCGGCGGACGGGUGAGUAACACGUGGAUAACCUACCUAUAAGACUGGGAUAACUUCGGGAAACCGGAGCUAAUACCGGAUAAUAUUUUGAACCGCAUGGUUCAAAAGUGAAAGACGGUCUUGCUGUCACUUAUAGAUGGAUCCGCGCUGCAUUAGCUAGUUGGUAAGGUAACGGCUUACCAAGGCAACGAUGCAUAGCCGACCUGAGAGGGUGAUCGGCCACACUGGAACUGAGACACGGUCCAGACUCCUACGGGAGGCAGCAGUAGGGAAUCUUCCGCAAUGGGCGAAAGCCUGACGGAGCAACGCCGCGUGAGUGAUGAAGGUCUUCGGAUCGUAAAACUCUGUUAUUAGGGAAGAACAUAUGUGUAAGUAACUGUGCACAUCUUGACGGUACCUAAUCAGAAAGCCACGGCUAACCACGUG